UUUCCCUCCCAUCCCACAGGCAACCAUUCGGAGUGCUAAAUCUCUGACAAUAUACCAGAAUGUUCAUAAAGGCUCUAGAGCUGUGCUUGGGAAUGUGGUAAACAGCCUCGGCAGUUAAUGGCAACAAACUGACUCUCCAUGACCUGUCCAUUUCCCCUCUGAGUGUGCCAGCUCUUCUCACAUAGGACUGAAUCUGGGUUGCUGGGAUACUUAGCCCCGCCAAUGUCUUUUGCCGCCAGACACAAAUCAUGUAAAUGGUUGCCCAUCUCAAGAUGGUGUAAGACCCCAAGUUCACAGAGGUGACCAGAUGUUAGAGAUGUCUGAUCACUGGGAAUCUGGGCCAGGUCCAUGGCCAAUUGAGUAGAGGCCAGCCCGUGCUCCAGUCACUACUGCUUUGUUUUUGUAUGAGUCUUCCCUUAAAGGAUCCCCAACAUCAUAGAGAGGACCACAUUGUCUAGGUCCAAGACUAGUCUACGCU
This is a long non-coding RNA of Monodelphis domestica (gray short-tailed opossum), 478 nucleotides long. RefSeq lists it as uncharacterized. The record is from RefSeq and is a predicted model, not a curated record. NCBI's taxonomy places the organism in Eukaryota, Metazoa, Chordata, Mammalia, Didelphimorphia, Didelphidae.